RNAcentral lists this long non-coding RNA (404 nucleotides) under Hordeum vulgare. Its description in RNAcentral is "long non-coding RNA (HVUL_LNC009266)". The record is from RNAcentral. Lineage: Eukaryota; Viridiplantae; Streptophyta; Magnoliopsida; Poales; Poaceae.
CUCCCCUUGGCAAUGAGAGGCUCGGACAGGAGGGUAAAACAAGGGGGAGACAAGGUUGGGUGGAUCGGGAGGAUCACGAGGAAGAAGAGAGGCCGCGGGAUGGAGGAUUGGAUGGGACAUCGAAUUAGGUUCGGACUGCUAUCUAUAUAUAUAUAUAUAUACACACGAAGGUGGAUAGUUUAGGGGCUAAAUGGACCAUCCCAUUUAGAUCGGAUGAUCAAGAUAAAUAGGUUAGGGAGCCCAAUUGCAAAACCGAUUAUGUUUUCUGGUAUUUGUGGGUUGAUCCGGAUCCAACGGUUGUGACUGCACGUUUCGGGUUCGGGAAAUUAUUGGACGCACGUGAGGGGUGUAUGCACUGUGCAUAGGGGCUAGACAUGAGAAGAGAGGGAAGAUGCAGGCAGCCG